Non-coding RNA from Poecilia reticulata (guppy), 1255 nucleotides. NCBI's taxonomy places the organism in Eukaryota, Metazoa, Chordata, Actinopteri, Cyprinodontiformes, Poeciliidae. The record is from RefSeq and is a predicted model, not a curated record.
AAAUCAACAAUUCUAACUUUUUCAACGUUGAUUUAACAUCGUGUGCUAUCUGGGCAGUGAUUAACACAAAUAGGUGGUGGCCAUUUCAAAGAGUGAGUGACUUCACAGGUGUUUGUUUUGAUUUAUUUGCUUUGGAGCCUACCAUCCAGGACCUGGUCGUACCCACCGUUUUGACUUCCAAUGAUUCACGUCCUGCUAAAGAGCCCCAUGGCGGUUGAAGAAAAAUCCACAGAAAAGCCCACCAGGCUAUAAACCGCAUGGUUUGAAGCGUGGGAAAAAAGUAACAGCUUAUAGUCAAAAAAAUAUGGAAUUCUGAUUUUAGUGCCUCACACUGCAAAGGGGUCAACAUACCCACCUGGCAUGCACCUGUUCAAACAUGCAAACAAAAAUAUAUCACCACAACUGCAACAUACACCCAGGAGAGAACCAUCACCAAGCCCAGCUCCUUCACCACCCAACAAACCCAAAGUCCAGCAACUCAAUUCUGAAAAGUAAUGGAAACAAUCCACAACAGACGCUGCAACCCCCAUGACCUCGCCCGCCUCUGCAAAGGCAGCAAUUCCUGUCCACCUGUCCACACGCCAGAUACCUCCAGAUGAGCUGACCAACCACCCCAAGCGAAGAACAACCCACCAGCUGACUCAACACAAGUUGAACUCUGCUGCCCCAGAUUACACAGAGCCAAAGGAAAAAGCAGCGGUGGAAGGCUGGCACACCACGCCAGAGAGGCAUUCCCAUAGAGCAUCAGAAGGUUUAAACCUCUAAGCAUUGUAGCAGAACAAACUGACUAGAUCUUGCAUUAGGCCCACAACAAGCAAGAAAUGGCCUUACAAUGGUGACAUCAAAAUUUAAAUGUGAUACAUUGCUUUCAGUUCAGUGUCCAUAUUCUUAAAAAAAAAAGUCAAAAUACCUUCACGUGUCUAAUGGCACUGAUUUUGAAAAAUACAAAUCAUGUGCUUAAUUAAUAGAAGUAAUUUUGCCAGUUGAAAGCGGGUUGGAUAGUUGGGAAUUAAAAUCAUUUUUGACUUCCAUCUGUUUAACAAAUACAUCAGCUAGACCACAUGGUCCUUAUACCAACUCUUCUUGAACCAAUCACCUGAGAACUUGGAUGAAUAGUCUAUCCUUCAUUGCCCCUGACAAUAGUCCUAUUUGCUGACAACAGUUGUCACAAAAAUAUCUUAAAAUGCAUGCAGAAUGAACCCCACUAAUUAAUAACGUGACCAAAAAUAGAUAAAUAAAUAAAACAUAAAACUUA